UUUGUUCUCCUUGGUGAA
Molecule: small nuclear RNA, 18 nt
Filed under: Arabidopsis thaliana (thale cress)
Lineage: Eukaryota; Viridiplantae; Streptophyta; Magnoliopsida; Brassicales; Brassicaceae
Description: snRNA_18520
Source: RNAcentral